GAUGAACGCUGGCGGCGUGCCUAAUACAUGCAAGUCGAGCGAACAGAUAAGGAGCUUGCUCCUUUGACGUUAGCGGCGGACGGGUGAGUAACACGUGGAUAACCUACCUAUAAGACUGGGAUAACUUCGGGAAACCGGAGCUAAUACCGGAUAAGAUUUUGAACCGCAUGGUUCAAUAGUGAAAGACGGCCUUGCUGUCACUUAUAGAUGGAUCCGCGCCGUAUUAGCUAGUUGGUAAGGUAACGGCUUACCAAGGCAACGAUACGUAGCCGACCUGAGAGGGUGAUCGGCCACACUGGAGCUGAGACACGGUCCAGACUCCUACGGGAGGCAGCAGUAGGGAAUCUUCCGCAAUGGGCGAAAGCCUGACGGAGCAACGCCGCGUGAGUGAUGAAGGUCUUCGGAUCGUAAAACUCUGUUAUCAGGGAAGAACAAACGUGUAAGUAACUGUGCACGUCUUGACGGUACCUGAUCAGAAAGCCACGGCUAACUACGUG
RNAcentral lists this ribosomal RNA (497 nucleotides) under uncultured bacterium. RNAcentral describes it as "partial 16S ribosomal RNA". It matches the Rfam family "Bacterial small subunit ribosomal RNA", at positions 28 to 507 of the family's 1533-position model. The record is from RNAcentral.